Molecule: ribosomal RNA, 498 nt
Filed under: uncultured fungus
Lineage: Eukaryota; Fungi
Description: eukaryotic LSU rRNA
Rfam family: 5.8S ribosomal RNA (bases 160-313)
Source: RNAcentral
AAAGAGAACUUGCCCUUCGGGGUAGAUCUCCCACCCUUUGUUUAUUAUACUUUGUUGCUUUGGCGGGCCUGCCUCACGGCUGCCGGCGUAAGCUGGCUCGCGCCCGCCAGAGACCCCUAAACUCUGAAUAUUGUCGUCUGAGUAAUAUAUAAUAGUUAAAACUUUCAACAACGGAUCUCUUGGUUCUGGCAUCGAUGAAGAACGCAGCGAAAUGCGAUAAGUAAUGUGAAUUGCAGAAUUCAGUGAAUCAUCAAAUCUUUGAACGCACAUUGCGCCCCUUGGUAUUCCGAGGGGCAUGCCUGUUCGAGCGUCAUUAUGACCACUCAAGCCUAGCUUGGUAUUGGGGUUCGCGGUCUCGCGGCCCUUAAAAUCAGUGGCGGUGCCAUCUGGCUCUAAGCGUAGUAAUCUAUCUCGCUAUUGGGUCCGGUGGUUGCUUGCCAACAACCCCCAACUUCUAAGGUUGACCUCGGAUCAGGUAGGGAUACCCGCUGAACUUAA